UUAAGUUCAGCGGGUAUCCCUACCUGAUCCGAGGUCAACCUGGAGUCGGCGUCUCCGCCGAUGUUUCACGGGCGCUCACCCCCGCAUCCCGAGCGAUUGAUGUGCCAUCACGCAGAGGAACGGGCGGCUUCCGCCGGUCACUUUGAGGCGCGCGGGGUCCGCGACGCCCAAUACCCAGCCGGGCUGGAUUGGUUGAAAUG
Molecule: unclassified non-coding RNA, 200 nt
Filed under: Pseudoveronaea sp.
Lineage: Eukaryota; Fungi; Ascomycota; Dothideomycetes; Mycosphaerellales; Dissoconiaceae
Description: partial internal transcribed spacer 2
Source: RNAcentral